AGCUAACGCGUUAAGUCGACCGCCUGGGGAGUACGGCCGCAAGGUUAAAACUCAAAUGAAUUGACGGGGGCCCGCACAAGCGGUGGAGCAUGUGGUUUAAUUCGAUGCAACGCGAAGAACCUUACCUACUCUUGACAUCCAGAGAACUUUCCAGAGAUGGAUUGGUGCCUUCGGGAACUCUGAGACAGGUGCUGCAUGGCUGUCGUCAGCUCGUGUUGUGAAAUGUUGGGUUAAGUCCCGCAACGAGCGCAACCCUUAUCCUUUGUUGCCAGCGGUUAGGCCGGGAACUCAAAGGAGACUGCCAGUGAUAAACUGGAGGAAGGUGGGGAUGACGUCAAGUCAUCAUGGCCCUUACGAGUAGGGCUACACACGUGCUACAAUGGCGCAUACAAAGAGAAGCGACCUCGCGAGAGCAAGCGGACCUCAUAAAGUGCGUCGUAGUCCGGAUUGGAGUCUGCAACUCGACUCCAUGAAGUCGGAAUCGCUAGUAAUCGUAGAUCAGAAUGCUACGGUGAAUACGUUCCCGGG
This 528-nucleotide ribosomal RNA is filed under the name Enterobacter sp. DJM26. Its description in RNAcentral is "bacterial SSU rRNA". It matches the Rfam family "Bacterial small subunit ribosomal RNA", at positions 850 to 1378 of the family's 1533-position model. The record is from RNAcentral. Lineage: Bacteria; Pseudomonadati; Pseudomonadota; Gammaproteobacteria; Enterobacterales; Enterobacteriaceae.